RNAcentral lists this ribosomal RNA (253 nucleotides) under uncultured bacterium. Its description in RNAcentral is "partial 16S ribosomal RNA". It matches the Rfam family "Bacterial small subunit ribosomal RNA", at positions 524 to 776 of the family's 1533-position model. The record is from RNAcentral.
UACGUAGGUGGCGAGCGUUGUCCGGAUUUACUGGGCGUAAAGGGAGCGUAGGCGGACUUUCAAGUGAGAUGUGAAAUACUCGGGCUCAACUUGAGUGCUGCAUUUCAAACUGGAAGUCUAGAGUGCAGGAGAGGAGAAUGGAAUUCCUAGUGUAGCGGUGAAGUGCGUAGAGAUUAGGAAGAACACCAGUGGCGAAGGCGAUUCUCUGGACUGUAACUGACGCUGAGGCUCGAAAGCGUGGGGAGCAAACAGG